RNAcentral lists this transfer RNA (74 nucleotides) under Stegodyphus mimosarum. It matches the Rfam family "tRNA". From Rfam's summary of the family: Transfer RNA (tRNA) molecules are approximately 80 nucleotides in length. Their secondary structure includes four short double-helical elements and three loops (D, anti-codon, and T loops). The record is from Rfam by way of RNAcentral. Lineage: Eukaryota; Metazoa; Arthropoda; Arachnida; Araneae; Eresidae.
GCCUUCGUGGUGUAAUGGCCAAGCACACUCGGCGCGUAUUCGAGAAGUCCGUGGUUCGAAUCUAGGCGAGGGCA